AUGAAACUCAAAGGGAAUUGACGGGGGGCCCCGCACAAGCGGUGGAGCAUGUGGUUUAAUUCGAUGAUACGNGAGGAACCUUACCAGGGCUUAAAUGCAUUAUGACAGGUCUAGAGAUAGACUUUUCUUCGGACAUUUUGCAAGGUGCUGCAUGGUUGUCGUCAGCUCGUGCCGUGAGGUGUCAGGUUAAGUCCUAUAACGAGCGCAACCCCUACCGUUAGUUGCCAGCGAGUGAUGUCGGGGACUCUAACGGGACUGCCGGUGCAAACCGUGAGGAAGGUGGGGAUGACGUCAAAUCAUCACGGCCCUUACGUCCUGGGCCACACACGUGCUACAAUGGCCGGUACAGAGGGAAGCCACCCCGCAAGGGGGCGCGGAUCUAUAAAACCGGUCACAGUUCGGAUCGGGGUCUGCAACUCGACCCCGUGAAGCUGGAAUCGCUAGUAAUCGGAUAUCAGCCAUGAUCCGGUGAAUACGUUCCCGGGCCUUGUACACACCGCCCGUCAAGCCAUGGAAGCCGGGAGUGCCUGAAGUCCGUCACCGCAAGGAGCGGCCUAGGGCAUAGAGUUUAA
Molecule: ribosomal RNA, 572 nt
Filed under: bacterium b3ca38
Lineage: Bacteria
Description: bacterial SSU rRNA
Rfam family: Bacterial small subunit ribosomal RNA
Source: RNAcentral